AUUCUGGCUCCAUACCUUAAUGGAGUUAACAACCUCACUUUCUGUAAAAAACAUCUUCCAGCUGCAAUACUGGGAUUUGUUCUGAGUGCUGUCAUCCUCUUUUUCCUUAUCUCCAGUUUCAUUUGCUGCAACAAAGACUGUGCUGAAGCCUCACUCUCUUUCACUGAAGAAUUUCAAGGCUUUUAUCCUAACAUAUCACGACACUGAAUUUUGGCAUUUCUAAAACAUCCAGUUCAUCCACAGAACAUCCUUUUGAGGCUGGCUUCACUGCAUUACCCAUGGUCUAAGGAUGAGAUGACUCAAAGAACAUAAAUCCCAAAUUGUCAUUAGGCUGCAGGGUAAAAUCGAGCUGAAAUGCAACGAAUGAAGCUGUGACCAGGAGAGUGCAGUCAGCUGGGAACUAGAGCCAGGCAGCAGCUUUCUUAGUUUGAGUUUACAUGCCUUCCACAUCCUAUCUGAGCUAAAAUAAGACAGAAUGGAGCAAAACCAAUGCACUGUGUGCUACCUACAAACAUGCUGAGAACACAACUCUUGCCCUCAGAGAAGCCAUGUAAGAGCCUCUCCCCUGCCCAGCACUCUGUGCCCUGCCCAUCACUUCUGCCACCACUCACUCCUGCUUUGCUGCCUGCCCUCAGCCUCUUUGGAGCUAGCACCUUCCACUCACACAAAAUAAUACACAGCUCCACCAAUUAAAUGGAACUCAAUUCUAAUAAAAGACAGCUUCUUUGUUUUCAAUAACACAGAAGUGGGUUUGAUUUGCAUUUGGGUUCUUUGUUUCAAAAUAUUUUUGUUGUUCUGGAUGCUAGAGUAAAUUUU
This is a non-coding RNA of Lonchura striata (white-rumped munia), 816 nucleotides long. NCBI's taxonomy places the organism in Eukaryota, Metazoa, Chordata, Aves, Passeriformes, Estrildidae. The record is from RefSeq and is a predicted model, not a curated record.